GCAAGUCGAGCGGACAGAUGGGAGCUUGCUCCCUGAUGUUAGCGGCGGACGGGUGAGUAACACGUGGGUAACCUGCCUGUAAGACUGGGAUAACUCCGGGAAACCGGGGCUAAUACCGGAUGGUUGUUUGAACCGCAUGGUUCAAACAUAAAAGGUGGCUUCGGCUACCACUUACAGAUGGACCCGCGGCGCAUUAGCUAGUUGGUGAGGUAACGGCUCACCAAGGCGACGAUGCGUAGCCGACCUGAGAGGGUGAUCGGCCACACUGGGACUGAGACACGGCCCAGACUCCUACGGGAGGCAGCAGUAGGGAAUCUUCCGCAAUGGACGAAAGUCUGACGGAGCAACGCCGCGUGAGUGAUGAAGGUUUUCGGAUCGUAAAGCUCUGUUGUUAGGGAAGAACAAGUACCGUUCGAAUAGGGCGGUACCUUGACGGUACCUAACCAGAAAGCCACGGCUAACUACGUGCCAGCAGCCGCGGUAAUACGUAGGUGGCAAGCGUUGUCCGGAAUUAUUGGGCGUAAAGGGCUCGCAGGCGGUUUCUUAAGUCUGAUGUGAAAGCCCCCGGCUAACCGGGGAGGGUCAUUGGAAACUGGGGAACUUGAGUGCAGAAGAGGAGAGUGGAAUUCCACGUGUAGCGGUGAAAUGCGUAGAGAUGUGGAGGAACACCAGUGGCGAAGGCGACUCUCUGGUCUGUAACUGACGCUGAGGAGCGAGAGCGUGGCGAGCGAACAGGAUUAGAUACCCUGGUAGUCCACGCCGUAGACGAUGAGUGCUAAGUGUUA
This 785-nucleotide ribosomal RNA is filed under the name Bacillus subtilis. Its description in RNAcentral is "bacterial SSU rRNA". It matches the Rfam family "Bacterial small subunit ribosomal RNA", at positions 57 to 825 of the family's 1533-position model. Lineage: Bacteria; Bacillati; Bacillota; Bacilli; Caryophanales; Bacillaceae. The record is from RNAcentral.